UGAGUCCUACGGGGCGCAGCAGUGGGGAAUAUUGCACAAUGGGGGGAACCCUGAUGCAGCGACGCCGCGUGGGCGAUGGAGUAUUUCGGUAUGUAAAGCCCUCUCGGCAUGGAAGAAGCUGACAGUACCUGACUAAGAAGCCCCGGCUAACUACGUGCCAGCAGCCGCGGUAAUACGUAGGGGGCAAGCGUUAUCCGGAUUCACUGGGCGUAAAGGGAGCGCAGGCGGCACGGCAAGCCUGGUGUGAACACCCGGGGCCCAACCCCGGGAGUGCAUU
RNAcentral lists this ribosomal RNA (277 nucleotides) under uncultured bacterium. RNAcentral describes it as "partial 16S ribosomal RNA". It matches the Rfam family "Bacterial small subunit ribosomal RNA", at positions 333 to 627 of the family's 1533-position model. The record is from RNAcentral.